GGGCCUGUAGCUCAGAGGAUUAGAGCGCGUGGUUACGAACCACGUUGUCGGGGGUUCAAAUCCCUCCUGGCCCA
Molecule: transfer RNA, 74 nt
Filed under: Lagarostrobos franklinii (Huon pine)
Lineage: Eukaryota; Viridiplantae; Streptophyta; Pinopsida; Araucariales; Podocarpaceae
Description: tRNA-Arg
Rfam family: tRNA
About the family: Transfer RNA (tRNA) molecules are approximately 80 nucleotides in length.
Source: RNAcentral